Hydra vulgaris (swiftwater hydra) is the source of this 310-nucleotide non-coding RNA. The record is from RefSeq and is a predicted model, not a curated record. Lineage: Eukaryota; Metazoa; Cnidaria; Hydrozoa; Anthoathecata; Hydridae.
UUAUUCAUGUAAAAAAUGGUUAGCUAUCUUUUGGAUGAUCCAAAAGUAGGUUUGCGAUUUUGAAGAAAACACAGACCAAGAAUGUUUUUGAUUUGCGCUAUUGCGCUAUUGCGCAUGCGAAAUUUUUGUAAACCUACUUUUGGAUCAUCCAAAUCUUUUUUAGAUAAUGCUCAAUAUCGCUGAUAUACCAAUUCAUUUUUUACAAAUUCUUAAAUAUUUUUGAUAGUAGAGUGAAAGAAGACAGCUCUUCCAUUGCUUUUAAACAUUUUUUAACCAAUAUGCGUGUCCAAAUAGUAGUUGUAAUCUACUA